Molecule: ribosomal RNA, 464 nt
Filed under: uncultured bacterium
Lineage: Bacteria
Description: partial 16S ribosomal RNA
Rfam family: Bacterial small subunit ribosomal RNA
Source: RNAcentral
CUACGGGGUGCUGCAGUGGGGAAUAUUGCACAAUGGAGGAAACUCUGAUGCAGCCAUGCCGCGUGUGUGAAGAAGGCCCGAGGGUUGUAAAGCACUUUCAAUUGGGAGGAAGGUUAGUAAGCUAAUACCUUGCUAGCUUGACGUUACCUUUAGAAGAAGCACCGGCUAACUCUGUGCCAGCAGCCGCGGUAAUACAGAGGGUGCAAGCGUUAUUCGGAAUUACUGGGCGUAAAGCGCGCGUAGGCGGACUGUUAAGUCGGUUGUGAAAGCCCUGGGCUCAACCUAGGAAUUGCAUCCGAUACUGGCAAUCUAGAGUCUAAGAGAGGGAAGGGGAAUUCCAGGUGUAGCAGUGAAAUGCGUAGAUAUCUGGAGGAACAUCAGUGGCGAAGGCGCCUUCCUGGCUUAAGACUGACGCUGAGGUGCGAAAGCGUGGGUAGCGAACGGGAUUAGAUACCCGUGUAGUC